Molecule: ribosomal RNA, 191 nt
Filed under: uncultured bacterium
Lineage: Bacteria
Description: partial 16S ribosomal RNA
Rfam family: Bacterial small subunit ribosomal RNA
Source: RNAcentral
GCUAUGUGUGUGUGAGCCAGCCCCCCCUGGGUAUUCAGACUGACGGAGCAACGCCGCGUGAGUGAUGAAGGCUUUCGGGUCGUAAAACUCUGUUGUUAGGGAAGAACAAGUGCUAGUUGAAUAAGCUGGCACCUUGACGGUACCUAACCAGAAAGCCACGGCUAACUACGUGCCACCAGCCGCGGAAAUUA